This is a long non-coding RNA of Xyrauchen texanus (razorback sucker), 1798 nucleotides long. RefSeq lists it as uncharacterized. NCBI's taxonomy places the organism in Eukaryota, Metazoa, Chordata, Actinopteri, Cypriniformes, Catostomidae. The record is from RefSeq and is a predicted model, not a curated record. The transcript has 5 exons.
UGAGAUUUGCUGUGUUGUAGUCCAACCACGUUGAACUGCUGUGUAUUUCAGCCAUCUCGGGUGAGAUUGGCACACUUAGUUUAUCCAUUAAAGAACCAAAGAUCGUCUCUGAGUGAUAAACUAACAGCUGCUUUCUCCCCGUGAUCACGUAACCGGCUUCGGUCCCACCAUUCUCUCUCUCUCUCUCUCUCUCUCUCUCUCUCUCUCUCUCUCAUACUAACCGUGCACACGCCACCCCUCACAAACAUACCCACACACAUUUGGCUAGUAGAUAACUUGGUGAUAAAGCUCAGCUUUGUCCCUAAGCUAUUGCACAUGCUGAGACAUGCGUUAAGCAGGCAGACGCCAUUAACCGGCUUCUCUCCGCCCACAUUUGUGGCCAUAUUCUCUGGCCAGAAACCUACUUUGUGUGACGUACUCUCCACGAGAGACAUGUCCGUCAUUUUGUGGGCGUCACUCCUUACACACACCUUCCUCUCAUGUGUUAUAGGCUUAUUUUGUUACCACAUCUAAUCAUGUCACUGUUUAGUUUGUAGUAGUAAACCGGAAGUUUAUUGACUGCAUUGUAUUGAUUAUUAAUUGAUAUUCUUCUUAUGCCCUCUCACCCCUUUCGGGGUAUGGGCCGCCAACAGUAGAUCACCAGAGGUUUCUGUCCUGGACCAUUCUUUCCAGUUGACUCCAGUUGUAUCCGCUGAUCUAUAUAUAUAACUGGAUAGCUCAUGACGUCAUCUUGGUAUUCCCUAACGUUCUGUAUUCCUAUGGGUCUCAAUGGGAAAUCGUCUGUUUUGCAGCAUUACGUUCAGCGGCGCACGUGUUACCUCAAUAGAAACAAGUUUAAGAAACUGAGUGCAGGCCUGAAUACGGCCCACCUCACGGGCAUCAUUUAUAAAGUGAUCAAUUGGAAUAGACGAGGAGCAGGGCUGGACUGGUAAUCUGGCCUACCGGACAUUUUUCCGGUGGGCCGACGCACUUUGGGGCCGAUCAGGGUGGACUGGCCAUCGGGAGAACCGAGCGGGCCGCUGUGUCGUCCCUGAUAAGCUAAAACGAGCCGCCGCGUUAGCGAACACUCUCCCCCCAACAAAUUUUGGGCCAGUUAUGUCAAAUCCCGGGCCGAUUUCUCUUUCCAGUCCAGCCCUGACAAGGAGCACAUGGAUAUUGUUGAAGAUAAACAAGUACAAGCUUGCCCAGAGUUUUCUUAAGCCGUUUGGAGUGUGAUGCAGCACGUUUCCUUGGCAAUGAAGUGGAGGCUGAUGUUUGUGCAGCUUUCUGCAAUGCACUGAGUAUGAAGAUGUGAUUGUUGUAUGGUUCUAGGUUGAACAUGUUUGCCUCAAGUUCCUUGAAUGCAGAACCACCAUGGAGAUCCAGAACCUUUGUGGGGACAGAGAUGGACCUUGUGAGUGUGUGCUGUUGAAGAAAUCUCUCAGCUGUCUUGCAGACUUUCAGGACGCUAUCUGACGGUCUUAUAAAUCCACCUCAGGACUUCAUGUCGAUUAGUGUGUUCAUCUUGGGAAGAGCUCUCGACACUGAAUGCUGAUAAACAGGCUGAACGUCACUGCCUGAAAUGCAUAUCAGAAGAUGCUGCCUCCAGUGUCACUGUGCUAUCCGGUGGAGAACUGUUGCCACUAGCUAUGAUGGCAUGUCUUGCUACCAUUCUUUUGAAAGCUGAAUAAUGUGGGAUUGUUGUUAAAUCCAUUAGCAGAUUUGUUCCCACAUAUCUGCAAAUUUUUAUUGUAUUGUUCAGUUUAAGUCAAUUUAUGUGUGUACUUGGAAGCUUUUGUUAUUGAACAAAUAAAUAUGU